AGAUCUACAAAUUUUUAUAUAAAAUUUAUCUCUAUUUAAGUUCAUAUAAGUUAGUUAUGAUAUUUUUGAAUAGGAACUAUUCAUACUAGGGUAAUCCCGCCGGAUGAACCGGGUGUAAGGUUGGUACAGUACACCUACCGCCGGUUCAUCCGGUUGCAGUUAUUUUAUUUGAUGGCUACGUAUACAUCUGCAAAUUUUUUCAGUUGGAUAUAUACUUUUAAAAAUUCGUAAAAUGAAAAAUAAA
RNAcentral lists this long non-coding RNA (244 nucleotides) under Panicum hallii. Its description in RNAcentral is "long non-coding RNA (PHAL_LNC000383)". Lineage: Eukaryota; Viridiplantae; Streptophyta; Magnoliopsida; Poales; Poaceae. The record is from RNAcentral.